CCGUUAAGUCAGUGGUGAAAGGUAUCAGCUCAACUGAUGAAGUGCCAUUGAAACUACAGACGAGGUAGGCGGAAUUUAUGGUGUAGCGGUGAAAUGCAUAGAUACCAUAAAGAACACCGAUAGCGAAGGCAGCUUACUAGACUGAGACUGACGCUGAGGCACGAAAGCGUGGGGAGCAAAACGGGAUUAGAUACCCCGGUAGUCCA
RNAcentral lists this ribosomal RNA (206 nucleotides) under uncultured bacterium. Its description in RNAcentral is "partial 16S ribosomal RNA". It matches the Rfam family "Bacterial small subunit ribosomal RNA", at positions 576 to 797 of the family's 1533-position model. The record is from RNAcentral.